UCGGAUCGCAGCCUGCAACCCGGCUGCGUGAAGCUGGAAUCGCUAGUAAUCGCGGAUCAGAAUGCCGCGGUGAAUACGUUCCCGGGUCUUGUACACACCGCCCGUCACACCAUGGGAGCCGGAAACGCCCGAAGCCAGUGGCCUGACCGUAAGGAGGGAGCUGUCGAAGGCGGGUCCGGUGACCGGGGUGAAGUCGUAACAAGGUAUC
Molecule: ribosomal RNA, 208 nt
Filed under: uncultured bacterium
Lineage: Bacteria
Description: partial 16S ribosomal RNA
Rfam family: Bacterial small subunit ribosomal RNA
Source: RNAcentral